RNAcentral lists this transfer RNA (71 nucleotides) under Bacillota bacterium. Its description in RNAcentral is "tRNA-Gly". It matches the Rfam family "tRNA". Rfam says of the family: Transfer RNA (tRNA) molecules are approximately 80 nucleotides in length. Their secondary structure includes four short double-helical elements and three loops (D, anti-codon, and T loops). The record is from RNAcentral. Lineage: Bacteria; Bacillati; Bacillota.
GCGGUAUUAGCACAUCGGUAGUGCACCAGACUUCCACUCUGGGGAGGUGGGUUCGAUUCCCAUAUACCGCU